Molecule: ribosomal RNA, 433 nt
Filed under: uncultured bacterium
Lineage: Bacteria
Description: partial 16S ribosomal RNA
Rfam family: Bacterial small subunit ribosomal RNA
Source: RNAcentral
AACGAACGCUGGCGGCAUGCCUAACACAUGCAAGUCGAACGAGACCUUCGGGUCUAGUGGCGCACGGGUGCGUAACGCGUGGGAACCUGCCCUUAGGUUCGGAAUACCUCCCCGAAAGGGGUGCUAAUACCGGAUAAUGUCUUCGGACCAAAGAUUUAUCGCCUUUGGAUGGGCCCGCGUUGGAUUAGCUAGUUGGUAGGGUAAAAGCCUACCAAGGCGACGAUCCAUAGCUGGUCUGAGAGGAUGAUUAGCCACACUGGGACUGAGACACGGCCCAGACUCCUACGGGAGGCAGCAGUGGGGAAUAUUGGACAAUGGGCGAAAGCCUGAUCCAGCAAUGCCGCGUGAGUGAUGAAGGCCUUAGGGUUGUAAAGCUCUUUUACCCGGGAUGAUAAUGACAGUACCGGGAGAAUAAGCUCCGGCUAACUCCGUG